This 433-nucleotide ribosomal RNA is filed under the name uncultured bacterium. RNAcentral's name for it is "partial 16S ribosomal RNA". It matches the Rfam family "Bacterial small subunit ribosomal RNA", at positions 29 to 507 of the family's 1533-position model. The record is from RNAcentral.
AACGAACGCUGGCGGCAUGCCUAACACAUGCAAGUCGAACGAGACCUUCGGGUCUAGUGGCGCACGGGUGCGUAACGCGUGGGAACCUGCCCUUAGGUUCGGAAUAACUCCCCGAAAGGGGUGCUAAUACCGGAUAAUGUCUUCGGACCAAAGAUUUAUCGCCUUUGGAUGGGCCCGCGUUGGAUUAGCUAGUUGGUAGGGUAAAAGCCUACCAAGGCGACGAUCCAUAGCUGGUCUGAGAGGAUGAUCAGCCACACUGGGACUGAGACACGGCCCAGACUCCUACGGGAGGCAGCAGUGGGGAAUAUUGGACAAUGGGCGAAAGCCUGAUCCAGCAAUGCCGCGUGAGGGAUGAAGGCCUUAGGGUUGUAAAGCUCUUUUACCCGGGAUGAUAAUGACAGUACCGGGAGAAUAAGCUCCGGCUAACUCCGUG